AAAUUGAAGAGUUUGAUCAUGGCUCAGAUUGAACGCUGGCGGCAGGCCUAACACAUGCAAGUCGAGCGGUAGCACAGAGAGCUUGCUCUCGGGUGACGAGCGGCGGACGGGUGAGUAAUGUCUGGGAAACUGCCUGAUGGAGGGGGAUAACUACUGGAAACGGUAGCUAAUACCGCAUAAUGUCGCAAGACCAAAGUGGGGGACCUUCGGGCCUCAUGCCAUCAGAUGUGCCCAGAUGGGAUUAGCUAGUAGGUGGGGUAACGGCUCACCUAGGCGACGAUCCCUAGCUGGUCUGAGAGGAUGACCAGCCACACUGGAACUGAGACACGGUCCAGACUCCUACGGGAGGCAGCAGUGGGGAAUAUUGCACAAUGGGCGCAAGCCUGAUGCAGCCAUGCCGCGUGUGUGAAGAAGGCCUUCGGGUUGUAAAGCACUUUCAGCGGGGAGGAAGGCGAUAAGGUUAAUAACCUUGUCGAUUGACGUUACCCGCAGAAGAAGCACCGGCUAACUCCGUGCCAGCAGCCGCGGUAAUACGGAGGGUGCAAGCGUUAAUCGGAAUUACUGGGCGUAAAGCGCACGCAGGCGGUCUGUCAAGUCGGAUGUGAAAUCCCCGGGCUCAACCUGGGAACUGCAUUCGAAACUGGCAGGCUAGAGUCUUGUAGAGGGGGGUAGAAUUCCAGGUGUAGCGGUGAAAUGCGUAGAGAUCUGGAGGAAUACCGGUGGCGAAGGCGGCCCCCUGGACAAAGACUGACGCUCAGGUGCGAAAGCGUGGGGAGCAAACAGGAUUAGAUACCCUGGUAGUCCACGCCGUAAACGAUGUCGAUUUGGAGGUUGUGCCCUUGAGGCGUGGCUUCCGGAGCUAACGCGUUAAAUCGACCGCCUGGGGAGUACGGCCGCAAGGUUAAAACUCAAAUGAAUUGACGGGGGCCCGCACAAGCGGUGGAGCAUGUGGUUUAAUUCGAUGCAACGCGAAGAACCUUACCUGGUCUUGACAUCCACAGAACUUAGCAGAGAUGCUUUGGUGCCUUCGGGAACUGUGAGACAGGUGCUGCAUGGCUGUCGUCAGCUCGUGUUGUGAAAUGUUGGGUUAAGUCCCGCAACGAGCGCAACCCUUAUCCUUUGUUGCCAGCGGUUCGGCCGGGAACUCAAAGGAGACUGCCAGUGAUAAACUGGAGGAAGGUGGGGAUGACGUCAAGUCAUCAUGGCCCUUACGACCAGGGCUACACACGUGCUACAAUGGCAUAUACAAAGAGAAGCGACCUCGCGAGAGCAAGCGGACCUCAUAAAGUAUGUCGUAGUCCGGAUUGGAGUCUGCAACUCGACUCCAUGAAGUCGGAAUCGCUAGUAAUCGUAGAUCAGAAUGCUACGGUGAAUACGUUCCCGGGCCUUGUACACACCGCCCGUCACACCAUGGGAGUGGGUUGCAAAAGAAGUAGGUAGCUUAACCUUCGGGAGGGCGCUUACCACUUUGUGAUUCAUGACUGGGGUGAAGUCGUAACAAGGUAACCGUAGGGGAACCUGCGGUUGGAUCACCUCCUUA
Molecule: ribosomal RNA, 1540 nt
Filed under: Klebsiella pneumoniae
Lineage: Bacteria; Pseudomonadati; Pseudomonadota; Gammaproteobacteria; Enterobacterales; Enterobacteriaceae
Also listed under: 4 other names
Description: bacterial SSU rRNA
Rfam family: Bacterial small subunit ribosomal RNA
Source: RNAcentral